UACGUAGGUGGCAAGCGUUGUCCGGAUUUACUGGGCGUAAAGAGCGCGCAGGCGGUCGUGCAAGUCGCGUGUGAAAGCCCCCGGCUCAACUGGGGAGGGUCACGCGAUACUGUUCGACUCGAAGGCAGGAGAGGGAAGUGAAAUUCCCGGUGUAGUGGUGAAAUGCGUAGAUAUCGGGAGGAACACCAGUGGCGAAGGCGACUUCCUGGCCUGUUCUUGACGCUGAGGCGCGAAAGCUAGGGUAGCAAACGGG
This 253-nucleotide ribosomal RNA is filed under the name uncultured bacterium. Its description in RNAcentral is "partial 16S ribosomal RNA". It matches the Rfam family "Bacterial small subunit ribosomal RNA", at positions 524 to 776 of the family's 1533-position model. The record is from RNAcentral.